AAUAGAUACCCGGGUAGUCCACGCCGUAAACGAUGAGUGCUAAGUGUUAGAGGGUUUCCGCCCUUUAGUGCUGCAGCUAACGCAUUAAGCACUCCGCCUGGGGAGUACGGCCGCAAGGCUGAAACUCAAAGGAAUUGACGGGGGCCCGCACAAGCGGUGGAGCAUGUGGUUUAAUUCGAAGCAACGCGAAGAACCUUACCAGGUCUUGACAUCCUCUGACAACCCUAGAGAUAGGGCUUUCCCCUUCGGGGGACAGAGUGACAGGUGGUGCAUGGUUGUCGUCAGCUCGUGUCGUGAGAUGUUGGGUUAAGUCCCGCAACGAGCGCAACCCUUGAUCUUAGUUGCCAGCAUUCAGUUGGGCACUCUAAGGUGACUGCCGGUGACAAACCGGAGGAAGGUGGGGAUGACGUCAAAUCAUCAUGCCCCUUAUGACCUGGGCUACACACGUGCUACAAUGGAUGGUACAAAGGGCUGCAAACCUGCGAAGGUAAGCGAAUCCCAUAAAGCCAUUCUCAGUUCGGAUUGCAGG
RNAcentral lists this ribosomal RNA (529 nucleotides) under uncultured bacterium. Its description in RNAcentral is "bacterial SSU rRNA". It matches the Rfam family "Bacterial small subunit ribosomal RNA", at positions 777 to 1304 of the family's 1533-position model. The record is from RNAcentral.